This 254-nucleotide ribosomal RNA is filed under the name uncultured bacterium. RNAcentral's name for it is "partial 16S ribosomal RNA". It matches the Rfam family "Bacterial small subunit ribosomal RNA", at positions 524 to 776 of the family's 1533-position model. The record is from RNAcentral.
UACGGGGGGAGCAAGCGUUGUUCGGAUUUACUGGGCGUAAAGGGCGCGUAGGCGGCCACCGCAAGUCGAUUGUGAAAUCUCCGGGCUUAACCCGGAAAGGUCAACCGAUACUGCGGGGCUAGAGUGCAGAAGGGGCAACUGGAAUUCUCGGUGUAGCGGUGAAAUGCGUAGAUAUCGAGAGGAACACCUGCGGCGAAGGCGGGUUGCUGGGCUGACACUGACGCUGAAGUGCGAAAGCUAGGGGAGCGAACAGG